Pelobates cultripes (western spadefoot toad) is the source of this 75-nucleotide non-coding RNA. The record is from the annotation of a GenBank genome assembly. Lineage: Eukaryota; Metazoa; Chordata; Amphibia; Anura; Pelobatidae.
UGGCCAAAUUUAGCAUUCAUUUUUGUUUGUGUGUUAAAAAUACAAAAAAACAAUUAUGAAUGCUAACUUUGGCCA